AGCCUUUUCCAUAGGAUGGUUUUUAAAAGGUUAUCACUAAGUAGGAGUCGAAAGGUGUAUAGCACACCCCUGGUGAGCUUUAUAGAGGAAAAAGAGGAAGAAAAUUUAGCGAAGUGUUUUUGUACUGGGCAGAAACACUGUGCUAAUUAUGGGGCAAACCAGCUUGUCUUUGGAACUGGAACAAGACUCACCAUCCUUCCCCAUAUCACGGACCCGAAGCCCUCCGUAUACCAGCUGAGAAACCCUAAAUCCAGCGAUACUUCCAUCUGCCUAUUCACCGAUUUUAAUUCUGAAGAUAAAGGGAAUUUCAGAAAAGAAGGAGUGUUCUUCUUCAACAGUACUACGCUGGACAUGAAGGUCAUGAAUUUCAAGAGCAAUGGGAUGCUGGCCUGGAGCAAGACAUCUGACUUUACAUGCAAUGACACCUUCAACAAGAUAGAGUUCUACUCCAGCUCAAACUAUUCCUGUGAUGCCCAGUUGACAGAGAAAGGCUUUGAAACAGAUAUGGAUCUCAACCUCCAAAACCUGUCACUGAUUGGGUUCCGCAUCCUCCUCCUGAAAGUGGUCGGCUUUAACCUGUUCAUGACACUGCGGCUGUGGUCCAGCUGAGGUCGCCAAGAAUGUGAGAGCCCAGUGCUCCCUCACUCCUUGCUCCUCGCCACCCCUCCUUUCCCUCUUUAAGCAAAGAGGCGCACCCUCUGCCCCCAAGGGGGAAAAGGCUCCCUCCGCCUCUCUGGCCCCACUGGCAAUGCCACCAACUGGAUCCUACAGGAUAUCUGUGAUCAAGAUGCUGAAGAGCUGCCAAACACUGCUGCCACCCCCUCUGUUCCCUCACUGCUGCUUGUCACUGCCUGACAUUCCCAGCAAAGGUCGGGGCUGCUGCAGCCUCUCCUGGCUGUGGAGGAACUCCUGCCCCUCCCCAGAGACCGCCUCUGUUCCCACUGGAUGAUGGAUCCCCCAUGGUUUCUCUUGAGCUCUAGCUCCCGGAGAAUGUUGUGAGAAGUUUAUAUUUUUUUCAAUAGUGUUCAUAAAGAAAUACAUAUCACCCUUUUUCCCAAGAUGUGGGGAAAAUUAUCUCAUUAUCUAGGCCCUGCUAUGCUGUGUAUGUGAACCACAUUGUAUAUUCUGCUGCCCAUGGCUUCAUUAAAAGCGAUUUGGAAGAGCA
Equus caballus (horse) is the source of this 1165-nucleotide non-coding RNA. Lineage: Eukaryota; Metazoa; Chordata; Mammalia; Perissodactyla; Equidae. The record is from the annotation of a RefSeq genome assembly.